Molecule: transfer RNA, 67 nt
Filed under: Marmota monax (woodchuck)
Lineage: Eukaryota; Metazoa; Chordata; Mammalia; Rodentia; Sciuridae
Description: tRNA.Ala
Source: RNAcentral
GGAUGUGGCUUAGUGGUAGAGUGCUUACCUAGCAUGUGCAAGGCCCUGGGUUCAAUCCCCAGCACCA